GAUGAAGAACGUAGCGAAAUGCGAUACUUGGUGUGAAUUGCAGAAUCCCGUGAACCAUCGAGUCUUUGAACGCAAGUUGCGCCCGAAGCCAUAGGCCGAGGGCACGCCUGCCUGGGCGUCACACGUCGUUGCCCCCCAUCUACUCCUUCGGGAUUGCGGGGGGCGGAUGAUGGCCUCCCGUGCGCCUCGUCGCGCGGUUGGCAUAAAUGCCAAGUCCUCGGCGACGCACGCCACGACAAUCGGUGGUUGCGAAACCUCGGUUGCCCGUCGUGUGCGGUCGUCGCGCAUCGAGGGCUCGAAAAAAUUGCCGGGCUCCGGCUCGGCUUUCAACGCGACCCCAGGUCAGGCGGGGUUACCCGCUGAAUUUAAGCAUAUCAAUAAGCGGAGGA
This 389-nucleotide unclassified non-coding RNA is filed under the name soil metagenome. RNAcentral's name for it is "partial contains 5.8S ribosomal RNA, internal transcribed spacer 2, and large subunit ribosomal RNA". The stretch from base 1 to 121 matches the Rfam family "5.8S ribosomal RNA", at positions 35 to 154 of the family's 154-position model. The record is from RNAcentral.